Nilaparvata lugens (brown planthopper) is the source of this 1090-nucleotide RNA transcript. RefSeq lists it as uncharacterized. The record is from RefSeq and is a predicted model, not a curated record. NCBI's taxonomy places the organism in Eukaryota, Metazoa, Arthropoda, Insecta, Hemiptera, Delphacidae. The transcript is spliced from 3 exons.
UCACGUAAUACAGUCACGGACGUUUUUCUUAUCAGCUGGUCUGUGUACUGUGGGAGGUAGACUAGCAAUAGGCAGCACUCGGCUUGUCACUUAAAUUAAAAAACAUUUCCUCAAACCAAUCACAACUGUUUUGCUAGUCAUUCGGUCAUGUCCCACUUGUUCUAACUGUUAGACCAGACCUGUUACAUGCAUUAUUAGAUCCAACGCAAAACGGUUUAUUUAGUGUUAGAGUGUGUUUAGAAUAGUAGACACCGUACCGAGAAAAUUUAAAAAAGUGCUGAAAUUUUUAGGGUCGAGAAUUUUUUGUAAAAAAGUGCUGAACAUUUUUACGUUCUGACAUUUUUUGUUACAGUGUUUCUAUUAUCUUUGUUUAGCUGCUUUUUUGGUAUCUUCUCUUCUUCUUUUCCUCAGUAGAUUUGGAUAGAGCAGUCUCAGCCAUUCGUAAGCCAGGAGGAGAUACGAGACGAAGAAGAGGGUGACGAAGGAGAGGAGAAUUCGAUUGAAAGGAAAAUCGAUCUAUCAGCUGUGGCGAUCACAUCUGUGAAGGAGAGGAGAAAACCUCCGUUGAAGGAGGAGGAGGCAAAAUGCGAGAUAAAGAAGGCAGAGAGAAAAGGACUGAUAGCUCAGUAUUUGACGUAAUUAAAGUGUGAACUCUAUCCCGUCCUGAUGAAGGAUAGAAAUGCUUUUGUUCUACAUAAAAAAGACUCUGAUGAGUUAUCUUGCUUUCCUCAGUUCUAACUAUCAUCUAGGAUACAGCAAUUUUAAGGUAGGACAUAAAAUUAAACAGUUACUCCUAAUCUUGAAAACAUUUAUAGAAAUAGAAUGUUCAAUUUUAAUAUUAUUCCCCAGUUUUUUUUUUCAUUUUAAUAAUAGCCUCUCCCUCUUUAAUGGGCCCUUUUUCAUCUCCACACACUGUUACUGAACAUCUAAUUGGGAGGAACGAUUGGUUAAAAAAUGCAUCAAACUGAUUUUUGCCAAUCCCGGGAUCAGUCCCGGGAUCCCGGGAUUGAUAUUGGAUAAUCCCGAAAUACCGGGAUUGGAAAUCAGUCCCGGGAUUGACAUCCCUACUCCCCACUGAUGUAUCAUCACC